GGAAGGGAGGGAGGAGGUUAGCAGGGAUGUGAUAGAAUUUACUAUGGAAAAAUGGAAUGAGUGCCAGGAUUUCUUAGAGAAGCAUCAUCGUAACAGAACUAUAACGCACAGAUUGCUGAAUCUGAUAAAUGAUAAAGCAGUCUCUGGUUUCCAGAGGGUUAUGCAGUGCAGGGAAAAGUAAGUGACAUUAGACAGAUUUUUUUUUUCCAAAAUUGAUCCUGCAGCCAAGAGACAAUAAAGAAAGGAAACCCCUGAAGGAGAUUUCCCAGAUGUCCUUAUGGAAGGGGCCUCUCCCUCCAAACAACAGCCUCCACACCCACCUUGCGGUCCUCAGUGCCAGAAGUCGCCUCAAACAAGAUGGGGUCUCAUUAUGCUGCCCAGGCUGGUCUCAAACUGUGGGCCUCAAGGGAUCCUCUUACCUCAGCGUCCUGAAUAGCUGAGACUGCAGACGUCUCCAUACCCGUAGUGGUUAUACACAAUGUACGACAGUGCACUUGCGCCAAUCACCACAAGGUUUCAUCAUUGCACUGCAAGCAUUCAGGAAGAAAAUAAAAUAAACAAAUGAAAAAGCUUUGGUCACAGAUAAUGGCAACUAUUGUCAGGGGGGAAAAAAACUCUUGGGUAAUCUGUCAAGAGAGUAAUAUUUAGCAGUGUGUGUUAACUAAAUGUGUCACCUAUCUCUGCCAAAUAUAGAAACGUGCUAUCAAUACUUACAUUCCUGAGUUUAUGCAUUUUAAGUGUCAAACCAUGCAGCG
Long non-coding RNA from Fukomys damarensis (Damara mole-rat), 755 nucleotides. RefSeq lists it as uncharacterized. NCBI's taxonomy places the organism in Eukaryota, Metazoa, Chordata, Mammalia, Rodentia, Bathyergidae. The transcript has 3 exons. The record is from RefSeq and is a predicted model, not a curated record.